This 67-nucleotide transfer RNA is filed under the name Tetrabrachium ocellatum (four-armed frogfish). Its description in RNAcentral is "tRNA-Ser". The record is from RNAcentral. Lineage: Eukaryota; Metazoa; Chordata; Actinopteri; Lophiiformes; Tetrabrachiidae.
GGGCGGGGUUGGCAGCAUCGAGGGUUGCUAUUCUUCGGUACCCCCGUUGGACUCGGGGGCUCGCUCA